CAUAUACUCCCUCCGUCUCAAAAUUAUUAUCUUGGUUUUGUUUAGAUGUGGAUGCAUCUGGUCACGUUUUAGUAUCUAGAUGCAGCCAUAUCUAAAAAAAAUCUAAAACAAGAAUUUUGAAACGGAGAGAGUAUUUA
Hordeum vulgare subsp. vulgare (domesticated barley) is the source of this 137-nucleotide non-coding RNA. The record is from Rfam. Lineage: Eukaryota; Viridiplantae; Streptophyta; Magnoliopsida; Poales; Poaceae.